Paramisgurnus dabryanus is the source of this 1303-nucleotide non-coding RNA. Lineage: Eukaryota; Metazoa; Chordata; Actinopteri; Cypriniformes; Cobitidae. The record is from RefSeq and is a predicted model, not a curated record.
UGUGCAGGUAUAGCAGUGGUAAGCAACCCUAUUACUGGAGAUCAACCGUCCUGCUAACCUGCUAAUCAAGCUUUUCAUUGCUACCUAAAACAUUCAAGGCAGACCCAAACCCUGCAUUCAGACCAAGAUAUGCCAGUACAGACUUCGUAUAAUAUCUGAUUUGGGACAGAUGUCUGGUAGACUACCUCCAUUUGAAUGAUGAGGUACAACACGUCCUCCUAAGUUUAUUGAUAUAGACAGACAUUAAUGAACGUUUGUCUUCAUUAACUGUUUGAAAUGAUGUGAAUUUCUCCCUGUCACAGUGCAUUUACAGGCGUGAUCUGUCUUUCAUGUUGAUGGAUGUGAGAUUGAGGAGAAAAUGAUUAAGCAACACUUGAUCGAAGGGCAUCCACCAGCAUGAGGUCAAUGCAUCAAGUCCUUGCUUUAAGCAACAAUUGUGACCAUCUCAAUUACAAAGAGCACAACUUAACUUCAGAGCAGCAGGAAGUGAACCACUGAGGCUCACUGACCAAAUAUGGACAUCCUGAGAAAAAUAAUUUCAUGUGACCCUCUGCUUGUCUGUCUGCUUGUCUAAACCUCUGUCUGUCGAUUUAAAUGUUAAAUGUGCUUUGAAUUUAAAUGCGUCAGUCUUUCUAAAUUUCAAUGUAAUUUUGCUUUACUGGCAUCACAAAAACAGCACUUGUAUUUGUAUUGGCAUAGCAUUCACAGCUGAACUGAACUUAAAAAUUACUGUCUGUCUGUCUGUCUGUUGGUUUGUCUGUCGGUCUGUCUGAUUCACAUUCAAUGACUGCCUGUAGCUUUAUUGGGGAGGGUAUGUUGUUACGUUUUUUGCUUAACAACUUAAAAACAGAUUACCUGCAGAGGCCUGUAACUUGUUCAAAACCUUUAGUUCAUCCCUCAUAAGUAAAUAUAAUUAUUAAACUUAUAUAACAAAUCUUUUAAUCAUUUUAUCAUAAAAUUUUUUAUUGCUAUACUAACAUCUAUAUGAGUAUUAGUUAGUCAGUAUUUAUCAUUUCUGUAACAGACAGACAGACAGACAGACGGACAGACGUCUUAUAAAACAACAGUUUCCUGAUUGGGCCUGUAGGGGACGCUGCAGCUCUGUGUUUGUGUGUGAAUGGUUGAUAAAGCUCUUACACUGAGAGAGCAUUUUCAUUAUUUGUUUAGUGCAGAAAUUAAAACAAUAUAUCACACAACACAAAACAUGUGUUUUGAUAUAAAAUGAUAUAAAAGUUGUGGUGUCCAGUUUCUCAAGUUUUUUUCUGUAAUGAACAAGCACAAGUUUAAGCAAAUACAAAAACAA